RNAcentral lists this ribosomal RNA (253 nucleotides) under uncultured bacterium. Its description in RNAcentral is "partial 16S ribosomal RNA". It matches the Rfam family "Bacterial small subunit ribosomal RNA", at positions 524 to 776 of the family's 1533-position model. The record is from RNAcentral.
UACGAAGGGGGCUAGCGUUUCUCGGAAUCACUGGGCGUAAAGCGCACGUAGGCGGAUUGCUAAGUUAGGGGUGAAAUCCUGGAGCUCAACUCCAGAACUGCCUUUGAUACUGGUGAUCUUGAGUUCGGGAGAGGUGAGUGGAACUGCGAGUGUAGAGGUGAAAUUCGUAGAUAUUCGCAAGAACACCAGUGGCGAAGGCGGCUCACUGGCCCGAUACUGACGCUGAGGCACGAAAGCGUGGGGAGCAAACAGG